AAAAUACAUAUGAGGCAUCACUUCAUUCAUUGUCACCUCAGUAUGAGUACAGAAUGCAUGGUGCUCUGAAGUGAUUAAUUUACUCUCAGGCCCUACAGAGGGACGGGACAGCCCAGCGCAUCACUGGGGGGCGAGCUCCCAGCCAUCCAGGACGUACAUGCCAGGCGGUGUCUGAGAAAGGCCCGAAAUAUUGCCAAAGACUCCAGCCAUCCUAGACAUGGACUGUUCUCCAUACUCGACUAUCCAAACUGACUCUAUGCCCAUCCACAGGUCUCUACCCACUGAGACACAACAUACGCUGAUGCUACAAUUAUUAUUGAUUACCAUAAGUAUUUAUCUAUUUAUCCUGCUACUGGUCACUAUUACUCCUGUUUACAUGUAUAUAUUACCACUAGUAUACAGCAUUACCAUAAUUAUUUAUAUAUUCCUGCAACCAGUCACUUUUCAGCCCUGUUUACAUGUAUAUCCUACUACAAGUCACUUUUUAUGUAUAAACCCACCUCAACCACUCCAGUACCCCUGUACAUUAAAUAAGGCACUGGCACUGGCCUGUAUAUGCAACAUUU
This is a long non-coding RNA of Salmo salar (Atlantic salmon), 566 nucleotides long. RefSeq lists it as uncharacterized. NCBI's taxonomy places the organism in Eukaryota, Metazoa, Chordata, Actinopteri, Salmoniformes, Salmonidae. The record is from RefSeq and is a predicted model, not a curated record.